UAGCUUAUCCCCAGAGCCGGACUUGAUGGAAGGCUCAAGAGGCCUCCGCCUCAGGCCCAGAAUUUUAGGAGGCCCAUUUUUUCACCUUUUUUUAUUAUUUUUUUAUUUUUUAAGACCCACUAUGUCCAUGUGUUCAAAAGAAAAGACCUCCCAACUCCAAGAAAUCAACAGCAAAAUCUACAUGUUCAGUGGUGGUGGUCGGAGCUAAUGUGGUCGCCGUCCUCACCGAUUCACCGCCAAUAACCCGCCUCUCAAUUCACUGCUCCUUUUUGUUUAGAUUAUGUCUAAAAUCUAAAUUUAUUUUUUUUUCUUUCUUUUACUUUCUUGCACAUAAUAUAGUAUUUAAAUUUUUUCCCCCUUUUUUCUUCCCUUUAUUUUGGGAUUUUGGGGUGCAAUUGUUGUUAUAAUGUUAUUGGCUAAUUUCUUCUUGCAGUUUUCAAAAUCUGAUGCUAUGCUCUAUUUUUCAACUUCAUCUAUAAAUUCUUCUUUUUUCACCGGUUUUGAAAAUUUGAAUUUUCUGAAGGCAUUUUUUAUUUUCCUAACUUUUAAUCAAAUAUUCGAAUGUAAUUUGGAGAAAAAAUAAUGGACUAUUUUGACGGCAAAGCUCUACAGCAGAAGAAGAGAAUGUGAAAGGUUUUUAUUUCAUUUCAAAGGAACACCAAAAAAUUUAGUUGUUGUUUUAUUGUUGAUUUAAGUUAACAAAUUUAAUUCCGUAAACUUCUAAUUUUUUAUUUUAUUUUUUUUAAAAAUGCAUUGUUUGCUACGACUUAGGGCCUAGGGUCCAAAUUCCAAAGUUCGCCUCAGAUCCUGCGAAGCACAAGUACGACACUGCUUAUCCCUUCUGGCUCCU
Molecule: long non-coding RNA, 850 nt
Filed under: Olea europaea subsp. europaea
Lineage: Eukaryota; Viridiplantae; Streptophyta; Magnoliopsida; Lamiales; Oleaceae
Source: RNAcentral